This 29-nucleotide non-coding RNA is filed under the name Rattus norvegicus (Norway rat). The record is from RNAcentral. Lineage: Eukaryota; Metazoa; Chordata; Mammalia; Rodentia; Muridae.
UAAUCUGAUGAAUUCAAGGGGUUAUUUCA